CGCUGGGGGCUCCCGCCGCGACGGUGCGGCCCGCCAUUGUCGGGGGCAUGGAGGGCGAGAGCACGUCGGCGCUGCUGUCGGGCUUCGUCUUCGGCGCCCUCGCCUUCCAGCACCUCAGCACCGACUCGGACACGGAAGGUUUUCUUCUUGGAGAUGUGAAAGGUGAAGCCAAGAACAGCAUUACUGACUCACAAAUGGAUGAUGUUGAAGUUGUGUAUACAAUCGAUAUACAGAAGCAUAUUCCAUGCUACCAGUUGUUCAGCUUUUAUAAUUCUGCAGGAGAACUGAAUGAACUUGCCCUGAAGAAAAUACUAUCAGGCUGUAAGAAGAAUGUAAUAGGAUGGUACAAAUUCAGACGUAACACAGACCAGACCAUGACAUUCCGGGAAAGACUGCUUCACAAGAACUUACAGUCACACCUAUCAAACCAGGGCCUUGUAUUCCUGUUAUUAACCUCUAGUGUGAUGACAGAAAGUUGUUCUACUUACAGACUGGAACAUGCCUUACAUCGGCCACAAGAAGGUCUUUUCCAGAAGGUUCCUUUGGUGGUUACCAACUUGGGUAUGGCAGAACAGCAAGGUUACAGAACAGUAUCUGGUUCCUGUGUAUCUUCAGGGUUUGUGAGAGCAGUGAGACAACACAGGUCAGAAUUCUUUCAUGAAGAUGGAUCCUUACAAGAGGUUCAUAAGAUAAAUGAGAUGUAUGCCACCUUGCAGGAGGAACUGAAGGAAAUAUGCUCUACAGUAGAAGUCAGUGAACGAUCUGUAGAGAAACUCUUAGCAGAAGUGAGCCAGUUAAAAGAAGAAAUAAAGAGGAAAAAGCAACAAACUUGUUCAGAAGUCAAAGACUACCCAGGAGAGCCAAAGGAGAAUGUUCUCCUUUGUCAGGCACUGCAAACAUUUUUCCCCAAUUCUGGACUUCAGACAUGUAUUGUUUCCUUCAAAGGCCAACAUAUACCAAAGAACUGCUGUAACAUUGACCAUAAUAUUAAUGUCAAGGACAAACUGACUCUCAUGGUAGAGGAAGGAGACUUCACUGAAGCUGAAGUAAGACACCUAACCAAGCGUAAAGUCAGAGGGACCACAACAGGAUCAAAGUCAUUCAAGAAAUCCAGAUCACUUCAGCUUCACCAAAAAUUACUUCAAGACCAAGAGGACAGCGACCAGGAAGGGAAGCUUACACUGAGCAGCGCUGAAACAGAUGAGGAUGCAUUUGAAAAAAGAGACACAAAUGAAUACUCAUACUCUCCUACUUUCUGAUGCGUUAAAGAUUUGUCCAGAUCCAGACCUUCCACCAAGAGCUACUGCCAGCACAUUCAAGUAACAUAUUAAUUUAUAACACUGCAGGGAUGAAAGUAACAGUGCAUUUUUGCAAAACAGCUUCCCCCCCCCCCCCAGUGGAUGAAUCCUGUUUGGCACAGUGACAAGUCCAGAUGACAUUCCCUCAUUUUGCCUGACAGAGCUAGAUCUGUAUUCUCUCAGGGUUUAAAGACUACAGUAGCAGGCUGUUAGCAGUCAUAUAACCAUAUCACAUACUGCCUCAGAGUAAUACAACUUGAAGCUGCUGUUGGAGAAGCAGUAACAUGCUUAACCAGAAUGAUCUGUCUGCAUAAACUGCCACAAUUUAACUACUUUAAUCUGUCUUUAGUACUUGUUUAUUCCUCCCCUUUCCAAUCCUACAAGGGAAAAGACAGCCACCUGAACUUUAGCAAGACCUGUAAGUGGAGGAAGUGGUCCAGGCAGCUGCCAAUUUCUGUUGUUGCUUUCAUCUUCUAUACUUCUGACAACACAUUUUAGAGACUUGACACUUCAUAAAAAACCAAAAAUCAACCAUCAUCCACCCUUCAGUCAGCAAUGCAUUAUGCAAGUCAACCGCAUUUCCAGUAAACAAGCAUAUAAUCAUGAAAA
Molecule: RNA transcript, 1907 nt
Organism: Strigops habroptila (Kakapo)
Lineage: Eukaryota; Metazoa; Chordata; Aves; Psittaciformes; Psittacidae
Gene: ABRAXAS1
Gene name: abraxas 1, BRCA1 A complex subunit
Exons: 10
Source: RefSeq, a predicted model, not a curated record